CCGUAACUAUAACGGUCCUAAGGUAGCGAAAUUCCUUGUCGGGUAAGUUCCGACCUGCACGAAUGGCGUAAUGAUGGCCAGGCUGUCUCCACCCGAGACUCAGUGAAAUUGAACUCGCUGUGAAGAUGCAGUGUACCCGCGGCAAGACGGAAAGACCCCGUGAACCUUUACUAUAGCUUGACACUGAACAUUGAGCCUUGAUGUGUAGGAUAGGUGGGAGGCUUUGAAGUGUGGACGCCAGUCUGCAUGGAGCCGACCUUGAAAUACCACCCUUUAAUGUUUGAUGUUCUAACGUUGACCCGUAAUCCGGGUUGCGGACAGUGUCUGGUGGGUAGUUUGACUGGGGCGGUCUCCUCCUAAAGAGUAACGGAGGAGCACGAAGGUUGGCUAAUCCUGGUCGGACAUCAGGAGGUUAGUGCAAUGGCAUAAGCCAGCUUGACUGCGAGCGUGACGGCGCGAGCAGGUGCGAAAGCAGGUCAUAGUGAUCCGGUGGUUCUGAAUGGAAGGGCCAUCGCUCAACGGAUAAAAGGUACUCCGGGGAUAACAGGCUGAUACCGCCCAAGAGUUCAUAUCGACGGCGGUGUUUGGCACCUCGAUGUCGGCUCAUCACAUCCUGGGGCUGAAGUAGGUCCCAAGGGUAUGGCUGUUCGCCAUUUAAAGUGGUACGCGAGCUGGGUUUAGAACGUCGUGAGACAGUUCGGUCCCUAUCUGCCGUGGGCGCUGGAGAACUGAGGGGGGCUGCUCCUAGUACGAGAGGACCGGAGUGGACGCAUCACUGGUGUUCGGGUUGUCAUGCCAAUGGCACUGCCCGGUAGCUAAAUGCGGAAGAGAUAAGUGCUGAAAGCAUCUAAGCACGAAACUUGCCCCGAGAUGAGUUCUCCCUGACCCUUUAAGGGUCCUGAAGGAACGUUGAAGACGACGACGUUGAUAGGCCGGGUGUGUAAGCGCAGCGAUGCGUUGAGCUAACCGGUACUAAUGAACCGUGAGGCUUAACCUU
RNAcentral lists this ribosomal RNA (997 nucleotides) under Shigella sonnei. RNAcentral describes it as "partial 23S ribosomal RNA". It matches the Rfam family "Bacterial large subunit ribosomal RNA", at positions 1934 to 2925 of the family's 2925-position model. Lineage: Bacteria; Pseudomonadati; Pseudomonadota; Gammaproteobacteria; Enterobacterales; Enterobacteriaceae. The record is from RNAcentral. RNAcentral also lists the same sequence under 1 other name.